GAUGAAGAACGCAGCGAAAUGCGAUAAGUAAUGUGAAUUGCAGAACUCAGUGAAUCAUCGAAUCUUUGAACGCACAUUGCGCCCUGUGGUAUUCCGCAGGGCAUGCCUGUUCGAGCGUCAUUUCAACCCUCAAGCCCCGCUUGGUGUUGGGCCCCGCCCGCUGUGGCCGGCCCUAAAGACAGUGGCGGCGCCGCCUGGCCCUCAGCGUAGUACAUCUCUCGCUCCAGGGUCCGGUGGCCGCCUGCCAGAACCCCCCAACUCUGUGGUUGACCUCGGAUCAGGUAGGGAUACCCGCUGAACUUAAGCAUAUCAAUAAGCGGAGGA
Molecule: unclassified non-coding RNA, 324 nt
Filed under: soil metagenome
Description: partial contains 5.8S ribosomal RNA, internal transcribed spacer 2, and large subunit ribosomal RNA
Rfam family: 5.8S ribosomal RNA (bases 1-120)
Source: RNAcentral